Molecule: non-coding RNA, 976 nt
Organism: Rattus norvegicus (Norway rat)
Lineage: Eukaryota; Metazoa; Chordata; Mammalia; Rodentia; Muridae
Source: RefSeq, a predicted model, not a curated record
AAGGAGAGAGAGAGAGAGAGAGAGAGAGAGAGAGAGAGAGAGAGCGCCCUAGGUUAGCUACAGAGCAUCACAUAAAGUGUAAGUGGUAGCACAUGACCCUAACUCCUGCAUUGGAGAAGUGUGGACAGGAGGAUCAGGAGUUCAAGGUCAUCUUCAGCGACAUAAUGAGUUGAAGGUCGCCAGACAGAGUGUGCUGUCUGCGGAGGGAGAGAGAGGCUCUGCAUCCCUGUUAACAGGAGAGGAGGAAAGGCUUUGGCCCCCUUUCACAGGGACAUGGAUCAGACAUGAGAGAGGAAGACCGCCUGAAUCUUGGCUGCAGACAGGAAGGAAAAGAAAAAUCAAGAAGACCAAACAGGACAGACAGGAGCCUAGCAUGACUGUCUCCUGAGAAGCUUCACCCAGCAGCAGAUGGAAACAGAUGGAGACCCACAGCCAAACAUCAGAUGGAGCUCGGGAGUCUUGUGGAAGAGCUGGGGAUAGAAGUGAGACAGCUGGAGGGGUCAAGGAUCAUCUCAUGAAGAUCUAGAGUCUAACAUAGGCCCAUGGGAGCUUACAGAGAAUGAACCACCAACCAAAGAGCAUGCAGGGGUUGGACCUAGGUCCCCUACAUAUUUAGCAGAUGUGCAGUUUGAUCUUCAUGUGGGUCCCCUAAGAAUUGGAGUGGGGGCUGUCUCUGACUCUGUGGCCUGCCACUGGAUCCCAUUUCCCUACCUGGACUGCUUGGUUGGGCCUCAGUGGGAGAGGAUGUGCUUAGUCCUAUUGAAACAAGAUGUCCUAGGGCCUGGGACCUUGAAUAUAGUUUCUACUGAUGAAUGAAUGAAGUGUGAAAACGAAAUGGUAGUACUUAGAAUAAGUUUCUUUUGCUUGUUCCCAACACCCCACCUAUAAAAUUAUUUUCAUUGCUAUUUCAUAAGCGUAAUUUUGCUACUGUUGUAAAGUGUAAUAUAAGCAUCUGUUUUCUGAUAGUCUUAGGCAA